This 339-nucleotide unclassified non-coding RNA is filed under the name soil metagenome. RNAcentral describes it as "partial contains 5.8S ribosomal RNA, internal transcribed spacer 2, and large subunit ribosomal RNA". The stretch from base 4 to 121 matches the Rfam family "5.8S ribosomal RNA", at positions 37 to 154 of the family's 154-position model. The record is from RNAcentral.
GAUUGAAGAACGUAGCGAAAUGCGAUAAGUAAUGCGAAUUGCAGAUUUCAGUGAGUCAUCGAAUCUUUGAACGCACAUUGCGCCCGCCAGUAUUCUGGCGGGCAUGCCUGUUCGAGCGUCAUUUCAACCAUCAAGCCCCCGGGCUUGCGUUGGGGCCCUGCGGCUGCCGCAGGCCCCGAAAAGCAGUGGCGGGCUCGCUGUCACACCGAGCGCAGUAGCGAUUCUCGCUCCGGGCGUCGGCGGCGGGCACCGGCCGUGAAACCCCCCCCACAUCCACAAGGUUGACCUCGGAUCAGGUAGGAAUACCCGCUGAACUUAAGCAUAUCAAUAAGCGGAGGA